UACAGAGGUCUCAACCGUUGUUCGGAUUCAUUGGGCGUAAAGGGUGCGUAGGCGGUCGUGCAAGUCGGAUGUGAAAUCUCAGGGCUCAACCCUGAAACUGCAUUCGAUACUGCGUGGCUAGAGUGCUGGAGAGGAGACUGGAAUUUACGGUGUAGCAGUGAAAUGCGUAGAUAUCGUAAGGAAGACCAGUGGCGAAGGCGAGUCUCUGGACAGCAACUGACGCUGAGGCGCGAAAGCGUGGGUAGCGAACAGG
RNAcentral lists this ribosomal RNA (253 nucleotides) under uncultured bacterium. RNAcentral's name for it is "partial 16S ribosomal RNA". It matches the Rfam family "Bacterial small subunit ribosomal RNA", at positions 524 to 776 of the family's 1533-position model. The record is from RNAcentral.